AUUGAACGCUGGCGGCAUGCUUUACACAUGCAAGUCGAACGGUAACAGCACUUCGGUGGCUGACGAGUGGCGAACGGGUGAGUAAUACAUCGGAACGUGCCUAGUAGUGUGGGAUAACUACUCGAAAGAGUAGCUAAUACCGCAUGAGAUCUAAGGAUGAAAGCAGGGGACCUUCGGGCCUUGCGCUACUAGAGCGGCUGAUGGCAGAUUAGGUAGUUGGUGGGAUAAAAGCUUACCAAGCCGACGAUCUGUAGCUGGUCUGAGAGGACGACCAGCCACACUGGGACUGAGACACGGCCCAGACUCCUACGGGAGGCAGCAGUGGGGAAUUUUGGACAAUGGGCGCAAGCCUGAUCCAGCAAUGCCGCGUGCAGGAUGAAGGCCUUCGGGUUGUAAACUGCUUUUGUACGGAACGAAAAGCCCUCUUCUAAUACAGGAGGGUCAUGACGGUACCGUAAGAAUAAGCACCGGCUAACUACGUG
RNAcentral lists this ribosomal RNA (482 nucleotides) under uncultured bacterium. RNAcentral describes it as "partial 16S ribosomal RNA". It matches the Rfam family "Bacterial small subunit ribosomal RNA", at positions 30 to 507 of the family's 1533-position model. The record is from RNAcentral.